ACGAACGCUGGCGGCGUGCCUAAUACAUGCCAGUCGAGCGAAGUUUUUCUGGUGCUUGCACUAGAAAAACUUAGCGGCGAACGGGUGAGUAACACGUAAAGAACCUGCCUCAUAGACUGGGACAACUAUUGGAAACGAUAGCUAAUACCGGAUAACAGCAUUAACUGCAUGGUUGAUGUUUAAAAGUUGGUUUUGCUAACACUAUGAGAUGGCUUUGCGGUGCAUUAGCUAGUUGGUGGGGUAAAGGCCUACCAAGGCGACGAUGCAUAGCCGACCUGAGAGGGUGAUCGGCCACACUGGGACUGAGACACGGCCCAGACUCCUACGGGAGGCAGCAGUAGGGAAUCUUCCGCAAUGGGCGAAAGCCUGACGGAGCAACGCCGCGUGAGUGGAGAAGGAUUUCGGUUCGUAAAGCUCUGUUGUUAGGGAAGAAUGAUUGUGUAGUAACUAUACACAGUAGAGACGGUACCUAACCAGAAAGCCACGGCUAACUACGUG
Molecule: ribosomal RNA, 498 nt
Filed under: uncultured bacterium
Lineage: Bacteria
Description: partial 16S ribosomal RNA
Rfam family: Bacterial small subunit ribosomal RNA
Source: RNAcentral